Molecule: unclassified non-coding RNA, 342 nt
Filed under: soil metagenome
Description: partial contains 5.8S ribosomal RNA, internal transcribed spacer 2, and large subunit ribosomal RNA
Rfam family: 5.8S ribosomal RNA (bases 4-119)
Source: RNAcentral
GAUAAGAACGUAGCGAAAUGCGAUAAGUAAUGUGAAUUGCAGAAUCCAGUGAAUCAUCGAAUCUUUGAACGCACAUUGCGCCCGCCAGCAUUCUGGCGGGCAUGCCUGUUCGAGCGUCAUUUCAACCCUCGACCUCCCUUUGGGGAAGUCGGCGUUGGGGACCGGCAGCACACCGCCGGCCCUGAAAUGGAGUGGCGGCCCGUCCGCGGCGACCUCUGCGUAGUAAACCAACUCGCACCGGAACCCCGACGUGGCCACGCCGUAAAACACCCAACUUCUGAACGUUGACCUCGAAUCAGGUAGGACUACCCGCUGAACUUAAGCAUAUCAAUAAGCGGAGGA